This 433-nucleotide ribosomal RNA is filed under the name uncultured bacterium. Its description in RNAcentral is "partial 16S ribosomal RNA". It matches the Rfam family "Bacterial small subunit ribosomal RNA", at positions 29 to 507 of the family's 1533-position model. The record is from RNAcentral.
AACGAACGCUGGCGGCAUGCCUAACACAUGCAAGUCGAACGAGACCUUCGGGUCUAGUGGCGCACGGGUGCGUAACGCGUGGGAACCUGCCCUUAGGUUCGGAAUAACUCCCCGAAAGGGGUGCUAAUACCGGAUAAUGUCUUCGGACCAAAGAUUUAUCGCCGUUGGAUGGGCCCGCGUUGGAUUAGCUAGUUGGUAGGGUAAAAGCCUACCAAGGCGACGAUCCAUAGCUGGUCUGAGAGGAUGAUCAGCCACACUGGGACUGAGACACGGCCCAGACUCCUACGGGAGGCAGCAGUGGGGAAUAUUGGACAAUGGGCGAAAGCCUGAUCCAGCAAUGCCGCGUGAGUGAUGAAGGCCUUAGGGUUGUAAAGCUCUUUUACCCGGGAUGAUAAUGGCAGUACCGGGAGAAUAAGCUCCGGCUAACUCCGUG